RNAcentral lists this ribosomal RNA (728 nucleotides) under uncultured bacterium. RNAcentral describes it as "bacterial SSU rRNA". It matches the Rfam family "Bacterial small subunit ribosomal RNA", at positions 139 to 882 of the family's 1533-position model. The record is from RNAcentral.
GGGGAUAACGAUUGGAAACGAUCGCUAAUACCGCAUGACAUAGCGGAACCGCAUGGUUUUGCUAUCAAAGAUUUUAUCGCUGAUAGAUGGGCUCGCGUCCGAUUAGAUAGUUGGUGGGGUAACGGCCUACCAAGUCGACGAUCGGUAGCCGGACUGAGAGGUCGAACGGCCACAUUGGGACUGAGACACGGCCCAGACUCCUACGGGAGGCAGCAGUGGGGGAUAUUGCACAAUGGGGGAAACCCUGAUGCAGCGACGCCGCGUGAGGGAAGACGGUCCUCUGGAUUGUAAACCUCUGUCUUCGGGGACGAAACGAGACGGUACCCGAGGAGGAAGCCACGGCUAACUACGUGCCAGCAGCCGCGGUAAUACGUAGGUGGCAAGCGUUGUCCGGAAUUACUGGGUGUAAAGGGAGCGUAGGCGGGCAGGCAAGUCAGGCGUGAAAUAUAUCGGCUCAACCGGUAACGGCGCUUGAAACUGCAGGUCUUGAGUGAAGUAGAGGUUGGCGGAAUUCCUAGUGUAGCGGUGAAAUGCGUAGAUAUUAGGAGGCAACACCAGUGGCGAAGGCGGCCCACUGGGCUUUUACUGACGCUGAGGCUCGAAAGUGUGGGGAGCAAACAGGAUUAGAUACCCUGGUAGUCCACACCGUAAACGAUGAUUACUAGGUGUGGGGGGACUGACCCCUUCCGUGCCGGAGUUAACACAAUAAGUAAUCCACCUGGGGAGUA